Molecule: RNase P RNA, 374 nt
Filed under: Myxococcales bacterium
Lineage: Bacteria; Pseudomonadati; Myxococcota; Myxococcia; Myxococcales
Description: RNase P RNA component class A
Rfam family: Bacterial RNase P class A
About the family: Ribonuclease P (RNase P) is a ubiquitous endoribonuclease, found in archaea, bacteria and eukarya as well as chloroplasts and mitochondria. Its best characterised activity is the generation of mature 5'-ends of tRNAs by cleaving the 5'-leader elements of precursor-tRNAs.
Source: RNAcentral
CGAAGGUGCUCAGGCGAUCGCCGGCGGGCUUGCCCGUCGGAGGAAAGUCCGAGCUCCACAGGGCGAGAUGCCAGGUAACGCCUGGUGGGGGUGACCCCGAGGAAAGUGCCACAGAGAGCAGACCGCCUCGCCGCUCGUCUGCGAGGUAAGGGUGAAAGGGUGAGGUAAGAGCUCACCGGGCCGCCGGUAACGGAGGUCGCACGGCAAACCCCAUCUGGAGCAAGACCAAAUAGGGGAGCGCAUGGGAUGGCCCGUCCCUGCUCCCGGGUAGGUCGCUCGAGGUCUUCGGCGACGGAGACCCUAGAUGAAUGAUCGCCACCCGCCAUCCGGUGACGGAAGCGGGGACAGAACUCGGCUUAUGAGCCCUUCGACCG